Molecule: ribosomal RNA, 433 nt
Filed under: uncultured bacterium
Lineage: Bacteria
Description: partial 16S ribosomal RNA
Rfam family: Bacterial small subunit ribosomal RNA
Source: RNAcentral
AACGAACGCUGGCGGCAGGCCUAACACAUGCAAGUCGAGCGAGAUCUUCGGGUCUAGCGGCGGACGGGUGAGUAACGCGUGGGAAUAUGCCUCUUGGUACGGAAUAGCCUCGGGAAACUGGGAGUAAUACCGUAUGUGCCCUUUGGGGGAAAGAUUUAUCGCCAAGAGAUUAGCCCGCGUUGGAUUAGGUAGUUGGUGGGGUAAUGGCCUACCAAGCCGACGAUCCAUAGCUGGUUUGAGGGGAUGAUCAGCCACACUGGGACUGAGACACGGCCCAGACUCCUACGGGAGGCAGCAGUGGGGAAUCUUAGACAAUGGGGGCAACCCUGAUCUAGCCAUGCCGCGUGAGUGAUGAAGGCCUUAGGGUUGUAAAGCUCUUUCAGCUGGGAAGAUAAUGACGGUACCAGCAGAAGAAGCCCCGGCUAACUCCGUG